UGACAACAUCAAUUAUGUCAGUUGUGACCAAAUUAUCUUUUGUUUUUAGUGACCAAAAAUGGCUAUUGUUGUGGUUCCUGUGUAACGUUAUUCGAAUUAUUACGGAAAUAAUAACCAAUAAGCUUGUGAAUCGCAAAAUAAAUUAAAUUUAUACAAUGGUGAAGUGUGCAGUUGUUGCCUGCACCAACAAAACCCAAACAAAACUAGCGGGAAUUUAAUUUCACAAGUUAGUAUUAAAAUCUUUGAUUUUUCUGUUGAUAUUGAGUAUUUUAAAGGUAUUUUUUUUUUAAUUAGGCCCAUUGACUAAUUUAAAGCUUUACAAUACGUGGUUUUAUGGGCAAUCCGUUAAAGAAUUGAAUUAUUUCACGAGUUUUGGUUUGACCAUAUAUGUAGUGUUGAGAAAGUGUUGUUUACAAUAUCGAUGAAUAAUUUCCAAAAAAUCAUAAUUUAAGACAAAAAUGGCUAAACAGCAUUAACAGGCCUAAUUUCAAGCCAUCACGAUACAGCUGCAUAUGUAGUGAUCAUUUUAAGAAGGAUCACAUUAAUUUAACAUGCUUUCCGCGCCUCAAAAACAAUGCCUGUCCAUCUAUCCCGAAUUUAUCACCUGAGCAACAAGUAAGACAACCCUUGCAAGAAGUGAAGCUUAAUCUGUUAUCAGAGAGUCAUGACAAUGCUGUUUCCCAAAAUGGAAUACAAGUAUUGUAUUGUAUUGUCAAAAACAUACUUAAAAACUAAAAUUUUCUUGUAAUAACGUCUCAAAAAAAUAUGAAAAAAAAAAUUUGUCUGGUAGAACGAUAAUCAAAUUUUAAAAGACCAUUUAUAAAAAAGUGUCAACUAGCUAUUACUUUUUGUUAUGUAUAACGUCCUUGUAUCAAAAAUUGUAAGUUUUGCAACUUCUAUAUGGUUCGUAUCGUACUGACAAGAGAACGUAUUCGUUUUUGAAUUUCAUUUUCGUAGUAGGUACGACACCGUCAUGUUCCGUACGCUCCAUCUGUAUAUUAUUGAUUAAUCUGUGUUAGAUACAAAACAAUUUAAUGAGAAAAUCAAUUGUAUGGAAUUUUAUAUUAUAAUAAUGUAAGACAGAAUUUAAAAUGUUUCAUUUUAGUAAACAUAAUAUUUUGUAUAAUUUAUUAAUUUUAUAUCGAGUGCUUAAUU
This is an RNA transcript of Bicyclus anynana (squinting bush brown), 1155 nucleotides long. It is a transcript of the gene named THAP domain-containing protein 1 B, with no coding region annotated. The transcript has 3 exons. The record is from RefSeq and is a predicted model, not a curated record. NCBI's taxonomy places the organism in Eukaryota, Metazoa, Arthropoda, Insecta, Lepidoptera, Nymphalidae.